UUUUUCCAUUUGCUAUACCUUUGAACUGCAACCAAAUGUUUUCCUCAUAGGAAUUCUGUUUAAAUUCAAAGAUUUACUUUUAUGUUUCCUUGUUUAGGAGAGUGUAGGUGAUCAGUUGCUCUUUAUUGUAUUCUUACUUGUGUACAAGUAAUUGUGGUUUUCUGAUGUUGUGUAAUUGUGUCUUGUUGUAUUCCUUGAUUUUGACUCUUGCUCAUAGAGGUUAAAUAUCUGUAUGCUUCAUUAUUAUCCUUUGUUAGUUCUUUCACUGGUAUUG
Molecule: unclassified non-coding RNA, 274 nt
Filed under: Hevea brasiliensis (rubber tree)
Lineage: Eukaryota; Viridiplantae; Streptophyta; Magnoliopsida; Malpighiales; Euphorbiaceae
Source: RNAcentral